GACGAACGCUGGCGGCGUGCUUAACACAUGCAAGUCGAACGGAAAGGCCCCUUUGGGGGUACUCGAGUGGCGAACGGGUGCGUAACACGUGAGUAACCUGCCCUUGCCUUCGGGAUAACUUCAGGAAACUGGGGCCAAUACCGGAUAGGAAUCCUUGCUGCAUGGUGGGGGUUGGAAAGCUUCGGGGGUUUUGGCUGGACUCGCGGCUUAUCAGCUUGUUGGUGGGGUAGUGGCUUACCAAGGCUUUGACGGGUAGCCGGCCUGAGAGGGCGACCGGCCACAUUGAGACUGAGGUGCGGCCCAGACUCCGACGGGAGGGAGAAGGGGGGAAGAUUGCACGAUGGGCGGAAGCCGAAUGCAGCAACGCCGCGGGCGGGAUGACGGCCUUCGGGUUGUAAAACGCUUUCAGCAGGGGCGAAGCUUGUGGUGACGGUACCUGCAGAAGAAGCACCGGCUAACUACGUG
This 465-nucleotide ribosomal RNA is filed under the name uncultured bacterium. Its description in RNAcentral is "partial 16S ribosomal RNA". It matches the Rfam family "Bacterial small subunit ribosomal RNA", at positions 28 to 507 of the family's 1533-position model. The record is from RNAcentral.